UGUGACUCUAGGAUUCUAAGAUUCUAUGUUUCUGUAAAUAGAAAGAAGCAGCCAACAACUUCCCUCCAGCUAUCUGGACCAAAUUUAUCUGAGAAGCUGUGUGACAGGUGCUGUGAGGGAUACCUAUGCAUAUGGAGGAGUUAAUAUCAUUAAAAGGCCAGCAGAAAUGGAAAUAUUUUCAUGCUGUUGCUUGAGAACUGGCCACAUUUGAAAGGACAUGGCUUUUAGCUCUGCAUUUCUAAAACAAGCACAGGAAACCAUGAGUGCUUUGGUGCCCUGAUCUCACCUUGGAACUGUGGCUUUUCAAGGCAAGCUAAAGGGACAUUACAUCAUGGAAACUCAGCUGUUUGAUGGAGAAGAGGCAUCCUUGUGCAUGAGGGCUUAUGCCAACAAACUGGGAAGCCAGCCAAGGUGACAGACCAGAAAAAUGAGGUAUGCUCCACUCCAGAUGUGUAUUGGUUCAUAGGAUGCCCCCCAAUACCCUGUAAGUUUGGAGAAGAGCAAGGAAACCUCUCCAUUUCAGUCUAAACAGUUCUUAAGUAGUGAGUCAGAG
Long non-coding RNA from Passer domesticus (house sparrow), 553 nucleotides. RefSeq lists it as uncharacterized. Lineage: Eukaryota; Metazoa; Chordata; Aves; Passeriformes; Passeridae. The transcript is spliced from 5 exons. The record is from RefSeq and is a predicted model, not a curated record.